GAUGAACGCUGGCGGCGUGCCUAAUACAUGCAAGUCGAGCGAACAGACGAGGAGCUUGCUCCUCUGACGUUAGCGGCGGACGGGUGAGUAACACGUGGAUAACCUACCUAUAAGACUGGGAUAACUUCGGGAAACCGGCGCUAAUACCGGAUAAUAUAUUGAACCGCAUGGUUCAAUAGUGAAAGACGGUUUUGCUGUCACUUAUAGAUGGAUCCGCGCCGCAUUAGCUAGUUGGUAAGGUAACGGCUUACCAAGGCAACGAUGCGUAGCCGACCUGAGAGAGUGAUCGGCCACACGGGAACUGAGACACGGUCCAGACGCCUACGGGAGGCAGCAGUAGGGAAUCUUCCGCAAUGGGCGAAAGCCUGACGGAGCAACGCCGCGUGAGUGAUGAAGGUCUUCGGAGCGUAAAACUCUGUUAUGAGGGAAGAACAAAUGUGUAAGUAACUAUGCACGUCGUGACGGUACCUAAUCAGGAAGCCACGGCUAACUACGUG
Molecule: ribosomal RNA, 497 nt
Filed under: uncultured bacterium
Lineage: Bacteria
Description: partial 16S ribosomal RNA
Rfam family: Bacterial small subunit ribosomal RNA
Source: RNAcentral